UUGUAUUGUUUUGUGGUGUUUGCCUGUGC
Molecule: non-coding RNA, 29 nt
Filed under: Mus musculus (house mouse)
Lineage: Eukaryota; Metazoa; Chordata; Mammalia; Rodentia; Muridae
Source: RNAcentral